AUAGACAACUGGAUAUCUGAUGACUUGACAGAUAUGUAUCAGAAAGGCCAAAAAGUUCUUGAAACUCUUGUCAAUGCUGGCCUGUUGGAGAGUUCUGAGGAUGGACACAUUUUCAAGCUACAUGAGACAGAUCGCUGUUUAUUACUAGAACAUGUUUUUCCAUCUGUAGAAGGAUUGUUUCUUAUGAGGAAAAAUAGUAAAUUGACUGAGCUACCAAAGGAUGUGGAUUGGACAAAGUUCCAUGAGAUUUACUUGAUGGAUAAUAAGCUAACUGAGUUAUCAGAGAAUCUGAGCUGCCCCCAAGCCCAAGCAUUGUUCCUGCAAAGAAACCUUAAAUUGAGGAAAAUAUCCGACUCAUUUUUCCAGGGCAUGCUUAAUCUACAAAUCCUAAACUUAUCUGGAACUCCCAUCAAGUCUUUGCCGGAUCCUCUUUUCAAAUUGGUCAAUCUUAAAAGCUUCUUUUUGAAUCACUGUGUUCUGUUAAAAUUAUUACCAUCCGGAAUUGGAAAUCUGAGUUGCCUUGAGGUAUUUCAUCUUGAAGGGACAGAGAUCAUAGCUCUACCAAAAGAAGUUGAACGACUGAAGAAUCUCACAUCCUUAAAAUUGUCAUUUCGUGAACCCAUCAGUUUCAAUCAGCAACCAAAGACGGUGAUUCCUGUUGGGGUUAUACCAAAUCUAUCCAAGUUGGAAAAUUUAUAUAUUGAUGUGAGUCCAGAAGAUGAUCGGUGGAAAGCAUCUGUGGGACGUGUUGUUUUGGAGGUUUGCACAGUAACAACAUUAGAUACACUUCAGUUCUACUUCCCCACUGUGGAACUAUUGAGCCAUUUUAAUUGGGAUACCAUACCAACAUCUCCACCAUUAUCACAUUUCAAAUUUACUGUUGGUGAUCAUACCAAUCGCAUCAUUGGUCAACUCCCUCGUGAUGCUGAGGUUGAGUUAGGACGAUAUGAUAAAUGCCUGAAGUAUGUAAAUGGUAAAGGUGCACCUGAGGAAAUCAAGAAAGUGCUGAGACAUGCAUCUGCUUUUUUCUUGGACCGCAAUAUGACUGUUGAGAAGUUAUCAGAAUUUGAGAUCACAAAUAUGAAACAAUUGAAGUGUUGUGUAAUAGGGGAAUGUGACAAGCUUCAAGCAAUCAUAGAUGGAGAUCAAAUGGUAACCAAUGCUUCUGGAGGACUAGAAGUUGGUUUUAAAUCACUUGAAUAUCUGUAUAUAUAUUGUGCGAGGAGCUUAAGGAGUAUAUGGGAGGGGCAACUGGAUAACAGUGGCUUUAAAGUACUAAAAUACUUGGUGCUAUACAUGUGUCCACAGCUGACCACCAUUUUCACACCAGGAUCGCUUGCAAAUCUUUCCAGCCUUGAAGAGCUCACAGUUGAUGAUUGCCCUGAAAUCAUAACUUUAGUGACCUGCUAUAAAUCUGAGGAUGUACAAAUCUUCCCAAGGUUAAAGAAGGUAUCUCUCCAUUACUUGCCUAGACUGGUUGGAUUCUCCGAGUGUUUGCUUCUUUCUCCAAGACUGGAAAGGAUUAGUGUUUGCUAUUGCCCCAAUCUCAAAAAGCUACCUAUUCUUGAUAAAGCUUUAAAUGGAAAUCUAAGGAAGAUCAUGGGCGAGUCUAGCUGGUGGAAGUCAUUGAAGUGGGAAAGCACAAAGGAUUCUUGGGAUGACAUAUUUGUUCCUGUUGAUGUAUGUUAUUGAAUGGCUAUAGUCUUGUUGGAAUAGAGGCAUUGUUGCAGUUGAGAAUUAGCAUUCCAUAUAUGCAGAACUUGUAAACAUACAUAAUAUAGUUAUUGAACUCACGAAUAGAAUUAAAAAACCACCGCAAAGUUGCUGCUAGCUAGAUUCUUUCCUGAUAGUAUAGUAAUGAAACAAUGGAAAAU
This 1874-nucleotide unclassified non-coding RNA is filed under the name Hevea brasiliensis (rubber tree). Lineage: Eukaryota; Viridiplantae; Streptophyta; Magnoliopsida; Malpighiales; Euphorbiaceae. The record is from RNAcentral.